AUCAUUCAAGAGGGAAUGCAAUAAUCUCUGAAGGAUACAGGGAAAAUGCAUGGCAGCAGCAUCCAAGAGAAGUUCCAAUAUUCUCUGAGAAGCAUGUUUUGUCAAGCCAUGACAAAGCUGAAUUGGAGCAAGACCGAGAAAAGCUGAUAGGCCGUAACAUGUCCAAGAAAACAUCUCAACCUGCUAUUGCAUCUGCAACAAAAGCUGCAGCUCCUGCUGCUACUACACUUCCUGAAGGGUCAUCAGACACAGUACAUUCUUUAGCCUCCAAAUUUCAAGGCCUUGGUGUUUCUAAACCCGUUGAGUAUCGCACUUCAUCAUCAUCACCAACAGCUGCAAAUCUUGUUGCUCCAAAACCUCUUGUCAGGAUGCACUCCACUGUUUCUUCACGCGCACCGCGAACUCCAUCAGCUUCAAUGACUCCGACAGCUUUACCCUCAUCUGCUCCAGCUGGUAGUAAGAAUACCAGCCCAACCUCGCAAUUAUGG
This 488-nucleotide long non-coding RNA is filed under the name Lupinus mutabilis. Its description in RNAcentral is "partial ncRNA". Lineage: Eukaryota; Viridiplantae; Streptophyta; Magnoliopsida; Fabales; Fabaceae. The record is from RNAcentral.